This 596-nucleotide long non-coding RNA is filed under the name Lathyrus oleraceus (garden pea). RNAcentral's name for it is "Pisum sativum (pea) long non-coding RNA (PSAT_LNC033439)". Lineage: Eukaryota; Viridiplantae; Streptophyta; Magnoliopsida; Fabales; Fabaceae. The record is from RNAcentral.
AUUAACAGAAUUUAUUUCUUUAAAGUCACUUUAGUUGUAUCAUUUUAUUCUCAAUGUAUAAAUACUUGUGUAAUAUUCCAAUUCAAAAUUAAUUGCAAAAUCUAUACUCAUCCAAUAUUACUAUUUUCUCUAUUUUUCUCUCUCAAGUUCAUCUUCUCCAAUUUUCUUUUCUUCCACCAUUGUUAAACCUUCAAAUUUCAGUUUUAUGUUCUAACAUAUAAUAGUUAUUACAAUUUCUCUAAUAUAAAAAAAAUAGAAAAUUUGUAAAAACAAAAGUGAGACUAAAAUUCAUAAUGAGAAAAGAUUUAAAGAUUAAUGUCACUUUAAUCCAACCCUAAAUUUCUAAUAUGCCGCUGGUAACUUAAUUCUUUUACUGGAAUGUUCUUCCUCUAAUUUAUUAGUGACAAAACCUAUAAUUUUUGUAGUCCCAUUUUCUAUACAAAACCCAAAUAUUAUCCAAAACAUACGUUAGGCCAUCUCAUUAACAACUAAAUGAUUGAGGGAUGCCUAUAAAUCCAACUCUUCUUAUUUAGUUAGUUCAUUUCACCAUCUAUCCGCACAAAGAAUGGGGAUAUAGUCAUCAUUUCUAAAAAUAU